CAGAUGAGCAGAGCCCUGGGAUGUGAGAUCCAUGGCCUGGAAUUCUGGCACCGUGUUCCUGCUUGGAUUAGACUAGUUGCAACUAGUUUGAGGAAGCCAUCAGAACAGUUUUAUACAUCCCUGGGAUCUUUGAGAAAUGAUUGGCAGCACUGCACACACCGUGCUGCAUCCAGAGCUGCAGCUCUUCCACAGAAUGCCAGGGAAUCCCUGCUCUGGAACAUCCUCCUGCAGAACUGAGCUAAAACUGGGGUCCUACCAUGUGCAAAGUCCAGCUUGAUCAUUCAGGCAGAAGAGUUCCCAGUCUCUAAAAUGAAGAUGGCUUUGACUUUAUUGUCCAUCUCACCCCUCCAAGGACACUCCUGGCGUGGUGCAGGGUGCUCUGCACCAGAGGUUUUGUUAAUUACCCUGCUAAUUGGCUUGCUGCUGUCACAGCACGUGACUCACAGUACAGACAGCGACAGAAGCGGGCAACGUGUCCAACUCCAAUCAUCUUCAUGCUCUCAAUAAAAAAAUCAUUUUUCUGUUGA
Molecule: long non-coding RNA, 527 nt
Organism: Parus major (Great Tit)
Lineage: Eukaryota; Metazoa; Chordata; Aves; Passeriformes; Paridae
Exons: 2
Source: RefSeq, a predicted model, not a curated record